GACGAACGCUGGCGGCGUGCUUAACACAUGCAAGUCGAACGGAAAGGCCCUGCUUUUGUGGGGUGCUCGAGUGGCGAACGGGUGAGUAACACGUGAGUAACCUGCCCUUGACUUUCGGAUAACUUCAGGAAACUGGGGCUAAUACCGGAUAGGAGCUCCUGCUGCAUGGUGGGGGUUGGAAAGUUUCGGCGGUUGGGGAUGGACUCGCGGCUUAUCAGCUUGUUGGUGGGGUAGUGGCUUACCAAGCCUUUGACGGGUAGCCGGCCUGAGAGCGUGAACGGGGACAAGGGGACUGAGAGACGGAGCAGACGGCAACGGGAGGCAGCAGGGGGGAGUAUGGCACAAUGGGCGGAAGCCUGAGACAGAAACGCCGCGUGCGGGAUGACGUCCUUCGGGUGGUAAACAGCUUUCGCCUGUGACGAAGCGGUAGUGACGGUAAUGGGUAAAGAAGCACCGGCUAACUACGUG
This 468-nucleotide ribosomal RNA is filed under the name uncultured bacterium. RNAcentral describes it as "partial 16S ribosomal RNA". It matches the Rfam family "Bacterial small subunit ribosomal RNA", at positions 28 to 507 of the family's 1533-position model. The record is from RNAcentral.